Molecule: long non-coding RNA, 1217 nt
Organism: Zonotrichia leucophrys gambelii
Lineage: Eukaryota; Metazoa; Chordata; Aves; Passeriformes; Passerellidae
Exons: 3
Source: RefSeq, a predicted model, not a curated record
UGCAAAUUAUUUCUUAGUCCCAUGCUUUUAUGGAUUCAAAACGAUCAAAAAAGGAUGAUCAUGGACAAGUGUGAUGUAAAGGACAAAAAAUAAUCUAUGUAAAGGAUCAGAAACCCAUCCUGGAUAAAGCCUCUUUCAGUUGCUGAAACAACAGCAGGGGAUGAAGUCAUGCUGGAUGCCUCAACAAGUGCCUGUUGUGCUGUGGUGUGAAUCACCCUCAGAGGCAGGAACCUGUAAUUUCCACAUGCAGAAUGUCCAAUUUCAAUGCAGUGAAAAGUGAGAGGGAGGAGAGCACCCGGGGCUGAAUCACUCACACACCAAAGUGCCAACAGGUACUGGCAGAGCAGAAUAUCAUCAUCAGCCUCCUCAGAGUCCAGCAGCUGCUGCCAAAACCAACUUCCUUUGGUGAGAGAGUGACCCACCCUGGUCCUGCAGCCCACUUCAGCCAGAAUCUCCAAAUGGACAAGCCCAGCUCUGGUGGCAUCAGUGAUGGACUGACGAGCCCUGGGAGCAGGACUGACUCCAAACCAGGGCAGAGAAAGCUGAGACAUCCUCCAGGCUCUCCUGGCCCUGCAUUGGAAUAACCUGGAGUUCAUCACUGCAGUUCUUGCUGCCUUUCACACACUGCUCUCAAUCUUUAUGAGUUACGUGGGUUCCAGGUGUCCCUCAAGCUUUGGCUUCUCGUGCAGCGGGGCCACAGUGGUUGUGUUUCCCUCUCUUCAUGGCUUGCCACUGAUGAAGUGUCCCUGUUAGUGGUGACUUACAGCCUCUGCCAUGCUUGGCAGAUUUCCUGUUGCUCCAUGUGUUAUUUGUUAUCAAAGGAAACUGCAAAUUUUUCCAGGUGACAAAGCUUAGAGAGCAAAUCUGUCUUCUCUGUGCUGGAGCCAAGGCAUUUCUGCCCCCUGCCUUGUUCUGCUUUCAAUGCAAUAAUAUUUUUGUGAAGGCACAGAGCAGGGCAAAGAAGGAGAAGGGAUGCAGAGGUUGGGUGGGAACUGAGCUGAGAAGGCUCAAAAAAGAAAAGUGAACAAUAAUUAUCUGAUUGCUUGGAAUGUGGUUUGGAGGUUGCUUUACCAGCAGGUGCAUUUUUGAUUGGUUCCAUGUGAAUUGUUUUGAAUGAAUGACCAAUCCCAGUCCAGCUGUGUCAGGACUUUGGUGUGUCAGGGGUUUUUAUUAUUCAUUCUUUUCUAGCCUCCUGAUGUCUCCUUUCUCUAUCUUUA